GCAUAUCAAUAAGCGGAGGAAAAGAAACCAACAGGGAUUGCCCUAGUAACGGCGAGUGAAGCGGCAACAGCUCAAAUUUGAAAGCUGGCUCCGGCCCGCAUUGUAAUUUGCAGAGGAUGCUUUUGGCGAGGUGCCUUCCGAGUUCCCUGGAACGGGACGCCAUAGAGGGUGAGAGCCCCGUAUGGAUGGACACCAAACCUGUGUAAAGCUCCUUCAACGAGUCGAGUAGUUUGGGAAUGCUGCUCUAAAUGGGAGGUAAAUCUCUUCUAAAGCUAAAUACCGGCCAGAGACCGAUAGCGCACAAGUAGAGUGAUCGAAAGAUGAAAAGCACCUUGAAAAGGGGGUUAAACAGUACGUGAAAUUGUUGAAAGGGAAGCAUUUAUGACCAGACUUGCGCCGGGCAGCUCAUCAGGGGUUCUCCCCUGUGCACUCUGCCCGGCUCAGGCCAGCAUCGGUUCUCGUGGGAGGAUAAGAACAGUGGGAACGUGGCCCCCCUCCGGGGGGGUGUUAUAGCCCAUUGUACGAUACUCUCGUGGGGACCGAGGUUCGCGCUCCGCAAGGAUGCUGGCGUAAUGGUCAUCAAUGACCCGUCUUGAAACACGGACCAAGGAGUCGUCCAUUAGAGCGAGCGUUUGGGUGUAAAACCCGCACGCGUAAUGAAAGUGAACGCAGGUGAGAGCUUCGGCGCAUCAUCGACCGAUCCUGAUGUCUUCGGAUGGAUUUGAGUAAGAGUUUUAACGGACGGACCCGAAAGACAGUGAACUAUGCUUGUAUAGGGUGAAGCCAGAGGAAACUCUGGUGGAGGCUCGCAGCGGUUCUGACGUGCAAAUCGAUCGUCAAAUAUGAGCAUGGGGGCGAAAGACUAAUCGAACUGUCUAGUAGCUGGUUACCGCCGAAGU
RNAcentral lists this ribosomal RNA (899 nucleotides) under Leucostoma cinctum. Its description in RNAcentral is "LSU rRNA". It matches the Rfam family "Eukaryotic large subunit ribosomal RNA", at positions 38 to 967 of the family's 3401-position model. The record is from RNAcentral. Lineage: Eukaryota; Fungi; Ascomycota; Sordariomycetes; Diaporthales; Cytosporaceae.